Long non-coding RNA from Lontra canadensis (Northern American river otter), 579 nucleotides. RefSeq lists it as uncharacterized. Lineage: Eukaryota; Metazoa; Chordata; Mammalia; Carnivora; Mustelidae. The record is from RefSeq and is a predicted model, not a curated record. The transcript has 4 exons.
AAUUUUGAACAAAAGUAGCACUGAACUGUCACUGUGGGAUGUGCAAACCUAAAGAAUUAAGGGCUCCCCCAAAAAAGGGCCUCGGGCUCUCCACGACUACAUAUCCCAGAAAGCCCUGCGCGCGGGUUCUCCUUCCGGCUAGUUUCCCCUGACUUCCUGGCAGCCCCAGGCGACUGAGACCGGGACGGAAACUCAGAGGCAGACACCUGUGCCUCAGCAUGGAGAAGAGCCUACCACCGAGCCCACAAGCCCAGACAUGGUUACCUUUUUGCGUGGCCGAAGCUUGUCCCGCCAUUCCUUCAAGUUCUGGUUAUGGCUCUCAUCUAGGGCCUUCAGCUUCUGGGUUUCAUGUUCUACCAGGAGGUGACACUUUUCAUUCUGGAACAAAUUCCAGGCAGAACAGAAGAAAUUUGUGGUAAGGACGAGGACAUGGACCUGACUGACGCACUCCCAACUUUACUGUUCUCUUAGGGUGGAGAAGCACCUUGCAGUUCUUAGCAGAGCCCACUCUCUGGCACCCACCUCGAAGGAGUUCCUGCUUCUUAGUGAGACACUCGCGCUCUUUGUCACAGAUCUCCC